CCUUCAAUAUGGACAUGACGAUAAAAUAUAUGGAUACAAGAGUAACCUAUUGCUUUUAAACCAUUGGGCGGAAUGAUCCAAGGAUACAUGCAAGUACCAUCACACGCAUGUUAGUUAAUAAUUUGGUUGCUCUUAACUCACUCAGAAGCUUCGGUUACAGGGCAUUUUCUUGAUGCGGUUAAUGAGACUGGUGAUGAUGUUGAAGAUAUGCUGACGAGAUUGGUGAUGCGAAUCUAGCAAUGAGGUAUGUCCAUCUGUUUUAUAAGUUUACCACAUUCAGUUCGCAUAGGGAGUUCCCAGGUAACUUUUGAUUCGUGAUGAACGAUUUGGCAUAGUUAAUGUAUCUUUUUCCAAAACUUCUUUGAGAGUUAUUU
Molecule: long non-coding RNA, 374 nt
Organism: Erigeron canadensis
Lineage: Eukaryota; Viridiplantae; Streptophyta; Magnoliopsida; Asterales; Asteraceae
Exons: 3
Source: RefSeq, a predicted model, not a curated record